GACGAACGCUGGCGGCGUGCCUAAUACAUGCAAGUAGGACGCAGUUGCGAACGGGUGAGUAACGCGUAGGUAACUGCCUAUUAGAGGGGGAUAACUAUUGGAAACGAUAGCUAAUACCGCAUAUUAGUAGAUGGACCUGCGUUGUAUUAGCUAGUAGGUAGGGUAAUGGCCUAACUAGGCGACGAUACAUCGCCGACCUUAGAGGGUGAUCGGCGAAAAUGGGACUGGGAAAAGGCCCAGGCUCCUACGGGAGGCAGCCGGAGGGAAUCUUCGGAAAUGGGGGGAACCCUGACCGAGCAACGCCGCGUGAGUGAAGAAGGUUUUCGGAUGGGAAAGCUCUGUUGUUAAGGAAGCGGUACUUAACCAGAAAGGGACGGCUAACUACGUGCCAGCAGCCGCGGUAAUUC
RNAcentral lists this ribosomal RNA (407 nucleotides) under uncultured bacterium. Its description in RNAcentral is "partial 16S ribosomal RNA". It matches the Rfam family "Bacterial small subunit ribosomal RNA", at positions 28 to 526 of the family's 1533-position model. The record is from RNAcentral.